Molecule: unclassified non-coding RNA, 203 nt
Filed under: soil metagenome
Description: partial contains 5.8S ribosomal RNA, internal transcribed spacer 2, and large subunit ribosomal RNA
Source: RNAcentral
AACAUCGCGCACCUGCGGGAACCUGCGGAGGGAUCAUUACAGAGAUUGAUGCACCAAGUGCAUCACCUCCAACCCCUUGCGAAAACAACUAUCAUGUGUUGCUUUGGCAGUGUUUCCACUGCCAGAGGUUUACAUAAAAUCAGCUGUUUGGAUGUUGUCUGAGUAAACUAUAUGAAUUAUUUAAAACUUUCAACAACGGAUCU